GACGAACGCUGGCGGCGUGCUUAACACAUGCAAGUCGAACGAAGAGCGAUGGAAGCUUGCUUCUAUCAAUCUUAGUGGCGCACGGGUGAGUAACGCGUAAUCAACCUGUCCUUCAGAGGGGGACAACAGUUGGAAACGACUGCUAAUACCGCAUACGAUCUAAUCUCGGCAUCGAGGAUAGAUGAAAGGUGGCCUCUACAUGUAAGCUAUCACUGAAGGAGGGGAUUGCGUCUGAUUAGCUAGUUGGAGGGGUAACGGCCCACCAAGGCGAUGAUCAGUAGCCGGUCUGAGAGGAUGAACGGCCACAUUGGGACUGAGACACGGCCCAGACUCCUACGGGAGGCAGCAGUGGGGAAUCUUCCGCAAUGGACGAAAGUCUGACGGAGCAACGCCGCGUGAGUGAUGACGGCCUUCGGGUUGUAAAGCUCUGUUAAUCGGGACGAAAGGCCUUCUUGCGAAUAGUGAGAAGGAUUGACGGUACCGGAAGAGAAAGCCACGGCUAACUACGUG
RNAcentral lists this ribosomal RNA (510 nucleotides) under uncultured bacterium. Its description in RNAcentral is "partial 16S ribosomal RNA". It matches the Rfam family "Bacterial small subunit ribosomal RNA", at positions 28 to 507 of the family's 1533-position model. The record is from RNAcentral.